GUGGGUAGUCGAUCACUGCAAUCUGAUCACCAUCGGGGAGCUCUGAUCGUCACAUCGAAGCCACAUAAAUGUCUGGCCUCUACGGAUCAUCCACACGAAGCUCCCGUCUGAUCAGCUCCUCACGAAUGCUAGUUCGUGAUUUCAUCCUUUUGAUGGCAGAUGUUGAUCGAACUCCUUCGAUCGAUGUGUGCUGACUUCUCAGAUGCUCCAAAUUGUCUACACAGUUGC
This 228-nucleotide long non-coding RNA is filed under the name Elaeis guineensis (African oil palm). RNAcentral describes it as "long non-coding RNA (EGUI_LNC053839)". Lineage: Eukaryota; Viridiplantae; Streptophyta; Magnoliopsida; Arecales; Arecaceae. The record is from RNAcentral.